Condylura cristata (star-nosed mole) is the source of this 388-nucleotide RNA transcript. It is a transcript of the gene named Ig kappa chain V-III region VH-like, with no coding region annotated. The record is from RefSeq and is a predicted model, not a curated record. The transcript has 2 exons. NCBI's taxonomy places the organism in Eukaryota, Metazoa, Chordata, Mammalia, Eulipotyphla, Talpidae.
AUGAGGGCCCCCGCUCAGCUCCUCAGCCUCCUGCUGCUCUGGCUCCCAGGGGGCAGGGGUAACAUCCAGUUGACCCAGUCCCCACCCUCCAUGUCUGCAUCUAUGGGGAGACAGAGUCACCAUCUCCUGCAGGGCCAGUCAGAGUGUUAGCAGCAGUUACUUACACUGGUACCAGCAGAAACCUGGGCAGGCUCCCAGGCUCCUCAUCUAUGAGACAUCCAAGAGGCCCAGUGGCAUCCCAGCCCGCUUCAGUGGCAGCGGGUCUGGGACAGACUUCACGCUCACCAUCAGCAGCCUGGAGCCUGAGGAUGCCGACACUUACUUCUGUCAGCAGGGUAAUCUCCCUCCCACAGGCCUGAACAAAAACCACUUGGGAGCAGCUAUGUGA